UACGAAGGGGGCGAGCGUUGUUCGGAUUUACUGGGCGUAAAGGGCGCGUAGGCGGGAUGGCAAGUCGGUCGUGAAAUCCUUCGGCUCAACCGAAGAACGUCGAUCGAUACUGCUGUUCUUGAGGGUUGCAGAGGAGACUGGAAUUCCCGGUGUAGCGGUGAAAUGUGUAGAGAUCGGGAGGAACACCGGUGGCGAAGGCGGGUCUCUGGGCAAUUCCUGACGCUGAGGCGCGAAAGCGUGGGGAGCAAACGGG
Molecule: ribosomal RNA, 253 nt
Filed under: uncultured bacterium
Lineage: Bacteria
Description: partial 16S ribosomal RNA
Rfam family: Bacterial small subunit ribosomal RNA
Source: RNAcentral